Passer montanus (Eurasian tree sparrow) is the source of this 755-nucleotide long non-coding RNA. RefSeq lists it as uncharacterized. NCBI's taxonomy places the organism in Eukaryota, Metazoa, Chordata, Aves, Passeriformes, Passeridae. The record is from RefSeq and is a predicted model, not a curated record. The transcript is spliced from 3 exons.
CAGGAACAGAUUCAGUGGAUAGUGUUGGUCUAAAAUUAAAAAAAAAAAAAAAAUCCCCCCAAUACUGUACGUGUGCACUAGGAAAGAAAUCUGCACAGAUGACUCCUCCUAAGAGCCGCAAAUAUUGUAGGCUCUGACUCUUCAGUGAACCCUGGAUGUACAUGCAUAUCUUUGGUCUGGAUGGCUGCAUAGCUGCAUGAGUGGAAGAGCUGGAGGCGGAUUGAAAACACAGAGUGCCCAGGGAAGAAGAUAGAACAUCUCCUCCAGCAACUCAGGUUUAGACUGGCUUUUGAAAAUACAUUCUUUGGGCAGAUAUUUGUGUUUAAUAGAGUACAUGUACAUGCAAGCAUAAUUUUUGGAAUCAGUUGUCUACUACUUGGAGAAAAAAGAUUUUAAAAGGGUUUUUUUUACAGAGUGCUACUCUUUAUACAAACUCAUUUUCCUCACUGAUUGUCCCCUUCAGGAGAACCAUAGUGGACAGUAGCCCCUCCAGACAUGUGUGUAUGAAAAUGAUGCAAGCAUCAAUCUUUCAGGUGAAUGCCAGUGUUCCUUUUCUACAGAGAUAGGCAGCUAUCUCAUUCUCACAUCUGGAAUAAGGAAUCAUUAUGCCUAGCAGUAACUGAUCCCAGAUGAUCUUAUUAACUAGGACAGUGUGUGGUUUUUGCUCAGAAUAUAGAACUCCUUUCUUCAAAAAAUAGGAGGAAAAAAGUAGAGGAAGUAUUCUUUUGUUAUCUCUAUUGUCUCUGGAAUUUUUA